GGAGUGGUACCAAAUAACAAAAUAUCUGGCUUUUUGAAGGUGUUUUCAUGAUAUACCAAAGAUUUCGAAUGAUAAUUUGUUGAAUCUGGGUCUAGAUUCUCCUGAUUCUACCAAUAAAGUUUUGGUAAAGGUUACACUCAUUGUAUCAAGAAUAAGAAACAUCCAUAAAUAGACUAAUAGAUAUUCCACUAUUCGGAUUUUUGUUUAGCAUAUUCUACUAAGCGGAACAUCCUUUGGUCCCCAUUACCUAGUGCAGACCGGCCCCAAAAUCUUUCUGGCAUGCUAUUCAAAUAUUCGGACGCCUGGGCCAUGCCGUGUGACAGAUGUGAAAUGUUAAUUUUCCUCCCUCCUUCCCAACAACACCCCGUUUCAUCCACCACCACAGUAAAAGGGUAUAUUGGUAAUGUGAUAGGACCAUCCACCCAGUUGACCAAAUACCCCAUCCCUUCCUUCCCUCCGCCUAGAUCUUCCACAUCCAAAAACAUUCCACCAUCAGUUCCCCUUCACCUCCUCACCCCCAUCCAAAAAAUCUUCACCUCCUUCUAGCCUCCACCCCAAAUCUUCACCUCCUCCUCGAUGCCAACCCAAAUCUUCACCUGCUCACCACCAUCUACAAUCUUCCCCACAUAGCUGCCGCCCAUUUCCCAUCUCCCUUUGUAGGACCA
RNAcentral lists this long non-coding RNA (665 nucleotides) under Setaria viridis. Its description in RNAcentral is "long non-coding RNA (SVIR_LNC004224)". Lineage: Eukaryota; Viridiplantae; Streptophyta; Magnoliopsida; Poales; Poaceae. The record is from RNAcentral.